AAAUGUGGUAGCAAUUCUUGCUUUUUCUGCCGCAAUAUAACUUAUCAGAUCCUCUUGUUUUUCCCUAAAUGGUAAAAGGGUUUGCAUUGAAAUGGUUAUUCAUCUGUGUCUAUGAUGCACUUAAAAAUAAUAAUUUCACUAUUAUGUUACAACAUGCGUUAUUUAUUAUUUUAGUAAAUGAAUAUUUUAAGCAGCAAUUUGCAAAUUUAAACAUGACAAUUAAUAUGAUAUGACAUAAAAAAUUAAAUAAUCUCCCAGCAUCUUUGUCAUCAGCAUUGCAUUAAUGAUUUUAGCCCUUCUGGCAGCUUUCAUUUUUUGUUUAUUUUGACUGAUGAUGGCAGAUUGUGAUAGUGAUAUACUUUUAUAAAUUAUUUUUUAGUCAGAAUGAUAUUAGCCUGUAAUGUUGACUGGCAGAACUAACACUGUUUAUCAUUGCCAGUGUUGUUUUGACUUAUAUUCUGAGUUCUUUCAGAAAGAUGAUAGAAUGUCUAUAAUGGACAUUUGCUGUCCACUGUAGGUUGCCCAGUGGUGGGCUGUGGUGGGGUCCACCUUCUGCUGUGGAAGCCAGCCCAGGUCAAAUGAGCGUUUCUUCUUCUUGCCCCGUAGGAGUUACAGGGGUGGGCUCACUACUUAGGCUCAGCCUCCUGACUGCUUUCACCUGGAGUUUAAAUCUGGAGAGAAUGUUGCAAAAUGCAGGGACAGUUAGUAGUGGCAGUAGAGUUACUGAAAUUACUAAGAUUUCUUUCCUGGAUAGUCCUAGUCGUACACAUCAAUGUUACUACAGGUGGGCUUAGCUUUUACUUUUGUACAUUUUGUACUGAUGCCUCUAACGACCUUUGUGCACAUGAUCAGAACUUUAAGCAUUGGAUGGCAGAGAGUUCAAGCUAUUGCAUGGUGAUGCUGCCUGCCAACCAACAGUUUGGGUUCAGCAGUGUUGACAUCUUUUCCUGUGUAACAGUGCUUAUUUGUGCAAUUAUUUGAAUUUUCAGUAGAGUUGAAUUUCAAACUGUCCUUGGAGGAGUUUUAGACUUCAUGGAGAUACCUUGGGCACCUAAUAACAGUACCUCAGUUUGAUAUAGUCCUUAUCAUUUUUAUAUAUGAUAAGAUGUUAAAUGGGAGGUUUCCUGUUGUCUAAAAUUUUGGCCAAAGUCCAAAAGCUGUAGCCAGUAGAUGGAAAGUACCCACGUAGUCUGAGGAGAGAUUUUAGAAGCAUCCGUUGCAGGACUUGUCAAGAAUUGGCCAAAUAGGUCUAGCAACUUUUACACCCUCUACCCUGUAACCCAGCCUGUGUCAGGAAGACUAGAAAUGGAUUACAUGCAAGGAACUCCCGGGGUAGGGAGUGCUCUUCCCUGAGGGAAGUGGGGGUUUCCCUCUCUCUGUCCUGCCUGCAAUCAUUUGAGAGAGACACCAAGAGAGUAAUGAAAAGAUUGGGGUUGAUUGCAAAAGGAAAUUGACAUUUUAUUGAACUGCACUCACAAGACAGGUGCUACUGUGGGAUUAGAAUGGAAUCUGAGAAAGAGUUCUUUAGAGAUUGUCGUGUGUCUUGGAGUUUGGAGAUGUCUGUGAACACAGAGACUGGUGUCUUCCUCUCACCUGAAAGCAGCUGUGUGGCUGGAGCUUCCUAGGGUGGAGGGGUAGGGGGCAGUGUGUAUAGAGAGGGGGCAGUAAAUGCUUGACCUUUUCUGCUGGUCAGGAGGUCUCCCUGGAGGGCAGCAGCUGUGAGUCAUCUUGAAAAACCUUCCCUGCAGAAGAAGACUGCCCACCAUGUGUAGGACUCCAGCAGAAAGAGGCUGUGGGUGAACCACAGGGGCAGGAACUCAGCGGAGGCUGUGAGAGAUGAGCCGAAGGGCCCUCAUUGCCUGCCUCAGGCAGCGUGGAGAUCCCAGUGAAGGGGUCUCACUAGUGAGAGCUGGCAUUUGGACUCCUGCAAGUGGCAGAUGUUUUACAGACCGGAGGACCACAGACAAAUGGAUAGACUUUCCUGUUUCCUUUUCCUCAAAAUUGCCUCUUUUGCUCUGGCCCCCCACCCUUUCCUCAAUGCUGGUCUCAGGGGAAAAGCUUCACACUGGAUGAAAUUAGUUUUGGUUUAGACUAGAUUGGACUUUUUAAUGCCUGAAAGUUUGGCUUAUUUAUUUAAGAUAAUGAUUUCUUUUUAAAACUCUAGCUACAAAUCAGUAGUUCUGAGUUACUGAACCCUGAAAAGUCCUUUCAUGAUGACACAUUCGGCCGUCUCGGCCCCAGUAGACUAGAGCUAGGUUUUAUCACUAAGUAUAGUUUCUAUUAUGUUGUAUCCUGCAGAUUUCAAGCAUACGACUUGCCAGCAAUUACUGUGUCAUCUGAGAAAGUUGAAAUUUCAUGAUAAGCUGAAGACUGGAAAUUUGCUAACUCAGUAUACAGCUACUACAGGUUAAAAAUGUAAUCACCGUGGCCAUCUAUUUGGAUGUGACAACCCUUCAUUUUAUAAAAUAAUUAGUGUUGAAUCAAAGUUUUUGCUCAACAUCUCCUAUCAAGUAACCUAUCAAAGCCAACUGAAUGAAUGAUUAAAAGGUUCAGAUCAAAAGCAACUGGCUUAACUUCAUGGAGGUUUUCAUCCUUUAUUUUAAGAUGUGUCUAUGUCUAACUGAUUAUUGCUCACCUUUUAGAAAGAGAUAUUGACGUCCUGUAAAGUGUGCACUGACCUCACUUCUGGAUGUGUGGGCAGGUUUCACUGCAGGCCUCUGAAGCAUUGAUAUUCCUGUAACCUUUGAGGCAAGAUGUGUGUAUAGUGUGUUAAUGAGCUGGUUGAAGUGAUGUACAGUAAUUUCAUCCUUGGGUAAAAACAGAUGUGAAAGAUUCUGUUUUAAUAGUUAAUCAGGCUCCAAGCCUCUGUUGGCUUGUUUAAGUUGACCUGACAGCAUUAUACCUGGAAACACUUUGAAUUAAACUCUAAGUGUUUGACCUUGUUCAAACAGUUGUAAUUUAAUAAGGCUGCUGUCUUGGUGGAGAU
Molecule: long non-coding RNA, 2986 nt
Organism: Equus caballus (horse)
Lineage: Eukaryota; Metazoa; Chordata; Mammalia; Perissodactyla; Equidae
Source: RefSeq, a predicted model, not a curated record